UUUUUGUUUUGGUUCAUAAGCGUGAUGAUUGGGUAUUUGUGCCUUUGCAUCACAUGUGCUUCCCAUGAACCUUGUUACUUACAAAUACAAUUACAACUAUGAUU
Small nucleolar RNA from Grammomys surdaster, 104 nucleotides. RefSeq annotates it as small nucleolar RNA U13. The record is from RefSeq and is a predicted model, not a curated record. The transcript has a single exon. Lineage: Eukaryota; Metazoa; Chordata; Mammalia; Rodentia; Muridae.